UUUGUCUCAGAGCAAACCAUCUGAAAAGGUGGGACGCAAAGCCGCGGGCCUAAUGUUUGUAAAAACUAUGGCAGCCGGGUUGCCAAA
This 87-nucleotide non-coding RNA is filed under the name Bacillus sp. OV194. RNAcentral describes it as "GEMM cis-regulatory element". It matches the Rfam family "c-di-GMP-I riboswitch aptamer". From Rfam's summary of the family: GEMM was predicted in a large-scale screen for bacterial structured RNA regulatory elements. Genes associated with GEMM are involved in a diverse array of functions, including chemotaxis regulation, signal transduction, secretion and chitin. Lineage: Bacteria; Bacillati; Bacillota; Bacilli; Caryophanales; Bacillaceae. The record is from RNAcentral.